AACGAACGCUGGCGGCAGGCCUAACACAUGCAAGUCGGACGAGAAGGUUCCUUCGGGAACUGGAGAGUGGCGCACGGGUGAGUAACGCGUGGGGACCUACCUCUUAGUGGGGGAUAACGGGUUGGAAAACGACCGCUAAAUACCCGCAUACGCCCUUCGGGGGAAAGAUUUAUCGCUAAGAGAUGGACCCGCGUUGGAUUAGAUAGUUGGUGAGGUAAUGGCUCACCAAGUCAGCGAUCCAUAGCUGGUUUGAGAGGAUGAUCAGCCACACUGGGACUGAGACACGGCCCAGACUCCUACGGGAGGCAGCAGUGGGGAAUAUGGACAAUGGGGGCAACCACACCCAGCCAUGCCGCGUGAGUGAAGAAGGCCUUGGGUGGAAAGCUCUUUCAGAUGCGAAGAUGAUGACGGUAACAUCAGAAGAAGCCCCCGG
This 433-nucleotide ribosomal RNA is filed under the name uncultured bacterium. RNAcentral's name for it is "bacterial SSU rRNA". It matches the Rfam family "Bacterial small subunit ribosomal RNA", at positions 29 to 497 of the family's 1533-position model. The record is from RNAcentral.